Molecule: ribosomal RNA, 490 nt
Filed under: uncultured bacterium
Lineage: Bacteria
Description: partial 16S ribosomal RNA
Rfam family: Bacterial small subunit ribosomal RNA
Source: RNAcentral
AUUGAACGCUGGCGGCAGGCCUAACACAUGCGAGUCGAACGGUAACAGGAAGCAGCUUGCUGCUUCGCUGACGAGUGGCGGACGGGUGAGUAAUGUCUGGGAAACUGCCUGAUGGAGGGGGAUAACUACUGGAAACGGUAGCUAAUACCGCAUAACGUCGCAAGACCAAAGAGGGGGACCUUAGGGCCUCUUGCCAUCGGAUGUGCCCAGAUGGGAUUAGCUAGUAGGUGGGGUAACGGCUCACCUAGGCGACGAUCCCUAGCUGGUCUGAGAGGAUGACCAGCCACACUGGAACUGAGACACGGUCCAGACUCCUACGGGAGGCAGCAGUGGGGAAUAUUGCACAAUGGGCGCAAGCCUGAUGCAGCCAUGCCGCGUGUAUGAAGAAGGCCUUCGGGUUGUAAAGUACUUUCAGCGGGGAGGAAGGGAGUAAAGUUAAUACCUUUGCUCAUUGACGUUACCCGCAGAAGAAGCGCCGGCUAACUCCGUG